Long non-coding RNA from Sarcophilus harrisii (Tasmanian devil), 1634 nucleotides. RefSeq lists it as uncharacterized. The record is from RefSeq and is a predicted model, not a curated record. The transcript has 3 exons. NCBI's taxonomy places the organism in Eukaryota, Metazoa, Chordata, Mammalia, Dasyuromorphia, Dasyuridae.
AGGGGGAGAAGGGGAGGUCGGAGGAGAGCAUCCUUGUGAGGGUCUUGAGCCCAGCCAGCAAAUUAAGAGUGUCCCCAUGAUUAGGGGCUAUACUAAGAUUAGACCCUUUCCUUCUUCCAGGGCUGGUCAUCCACACCUCCUUACCUUCCUUUUCUAGGUAAUGACCUGACCACAAGACUACAGAACACAUUUGGACAAAGCCUUACUUAUUAUUAAAGGACUUCCAUGAACUGAUAUUUUCUUUCAAGAAAGGAUCUUAUGGACCAGGAAGGCCUGGACUUGAUUACUUUUUUCCUCCAGAAAUCUCUGGUGAAAACAAAUUUAUAUACUCCAUUAAUGUUUUCCCAUGGUAGACUGUUUUCACAAAGAAUGAUGGUUAGCUUUCCCCUUAUGGUAGAACUUUAAGAUUUUUUCAGGGCCAUUAGGUCACUGCUACUUCCUCUUUGUGAACACCCUGUCUUCUCCCUAAAGAAUACCUGAGUGUAGAAAUCCUGUAGGUCCCCCAGGAAAAGCCCACUUCCUGAAUUAAGCCAGGUUUCAAGAACAAGCAACUUUCUAUUCAAUAGUUUUAUUCUUUUUAGUUUUAGUUUUUAUUCUUGGGCCUGGGAAAAUAUUAAGAUAAUUAUUGAGAGGAAAGGCUUUGAUCUGGAAAUGGUUCUGAGAAACGGCAGGGCAGAUUUCUCUCUUUGGACAAUAAAAAAACAACAGAAGGCAAAGAAUGCAGAAGGACCAACUCUUCCAAGCUAAAGACCUUGGAAAAAAGAUCUCAGCCGUUUACACUUUGGAAGAAACUGGACCAGAGAAAGAAAGUAAUUUCUCAAGAUCACCCUGUUAUUUCAUGGCAGAUCCCAAUUCAUUGUUCUUCCCAUUGCACCAUGCUACUUCCUGUGUUAUGGCCAAAACCUGUUUCCCUUCCUCCCCUCCCCUCCCUUUCAAAUCUAUCUGUUCUGCCUAAACCUGGAAUUUAGAUUUUCUGUUUCUGUCUGGCCCUUGCUUGAUGUUGUGGGCAGAAUCUGUGGAGAUAGUAAACUAAAUCCUGAUGAUAAUAUGAAAUGCAAAGGCAUCCACUGCAUUUAGGGAGAACCCAGGAAAAUCUAUGCAGCAUUAUUCUAGGGCAAAGGGCCAUUUGGAUUCUUUCAGAGAGAAUUGGAUUCUUCUGAGUAAGAUCUGUGUGCAGGGUUGGAGCACAUCAUAGGAAAACCAGGCACUUGCCCUGUGUCUUGUAAAGUAACAAGAAUUCAGAACUUUUCUUGUGAUGGAGAAGAAAAUUAAGCAACAAGAGUCCAGAAUUCUGUGGAACUUGGUCUGGUGAUCUGGCACCAUUGAAAACUGCUUGAUCUAUUUUAUGCAAGCUGCUCAUGACCCCUUCUUUAAAAUUUAUUUGGAAAGCAGAAUUCACAGGAUUUACCUCUAUAAAAUAUAAGAAAAAAAAAAACCUUUUGUAAACUUUAUCAGUAUCAAUAACACAGUAUCAAUAAAUAAUAAUGACCAUAGCUAACAUUUAUGCAGUGUUUUAUCAUGUAUUUAUCAAGUGUAGCAUACCAUGCUAAGGGCUUUACAAUUCUCUCAUUCUUAACAAUAACCUUGUAAACUAGGUGCUAUUAUUAUCCCCAUUUUACAAAUGAGAAAAUUAA